This 250-nucleotide ribosomal RNA is filed under the name uncultured bacterium. RNAcentral describes it as "partial 16S ribosomal RNA". It matches the Rfam family "Bacterial small subunit ribosomal RNA", at positions 524 to 771 of the family's 1533-position model. The record is from RNAcentral.
UACGUAGGUGGCAAGCGUUGUCCGGAAUUACUGGGCGUAAAGCGUGCGCAGGCGGUUUUGUAAGACAGAUGUGAAAUGCCCGGGCUUAACCUGGGAACUGCAUUUGUGACUGCAAGGCUAGAAUCUGGCAGAGGGGGGUAGAAUUCCACGGUGUAGCAGUGAAAUGCGUAGAUAUGUGGAGGAAUACCGAUGGCGAAGGCAGGCCCCCUGGGCUAAGAUUGACGCUCAUGCACGAAAGCGUGGGGAGCAA